AUGUACCACUCCUACACUAGCGGUUGCUCCGCGCCGCCCGCACCCACCUGGCGACUGCUCGCUACGUUUUUUAGCC
This 76-nucleotide small RNA is filed under the name Xanthomonas fragariae. RNAcentral describes it as "sX9 sRNA". It matches the Rfam family "Xanthomonas sRNA sX9". The record is from RNAcentral. Lineage: Bacteria; Pseudomonadati; Pseudomonadota; Gammaproteobacteria; Lysobacterales; Lysobacteraceae.